RNAcentral lists this long non-coding RNA (550 nucleotides) under Monodelphis domestica (gray short-tailed opossum). Its description in RNAcentral is "lncRNA (ENSMODG00000039362.1)". The record is from RNAcentral. Lineage: Eukaryota; Metazoa; Chordata; Mammalia; Didelphimorphia; Didelphidae.
UUAUGUGAACAAGCAAUGAUAUAUAAUUUCUUUUCUUUUCAUCCUGAAUUUUAGGGAUUAUGAGAUUUCAAAUUUAGAGCUAGAAGAGCCCUUAGAGGUCAUCUAGCCAGCCUAAAUUCUUCCUUUUAUAGUUAUUGGUUCUUCGUGGUGUGUUGAGGAGUUCCAUCCUGUUUGUCAAAUGUAGAUUCUACACUACCAAUGGAAAAGUAUUUGGAUAUUGAUGGAUAAUUUCGAAGAGUGAAAAUAAAUAUCUUUCUAGGCUGAAGAAGAGUAGGUGGAUUUGCUCAUCGUGAAGAAAAAUGAGACACAAUAGUCAACAAGGACUUAGUAGUGGCAUUCAGUUGACAAUCCACACUGCAGUCAGAACCAGGCAGGAGCUUCAGUGUUGGUGAACAGCUGCUGGCCCUCAUGAGAAUCAGUAGCUCAGGAUGGCCACUUCUUUAUGGCUGUCUUUAUUGUGCAGAUCUUCUAAAUGAUACUUGUAAGAUUUAAAACUAGUUGGUUAUAAUUUACAUCUUAUUAGUCUAAAUAAAAAAGAUAUCCAUUACCA